Molecule: long non-coding RNA, 371 nt
Organism: Heteronotia binoei (common prickly gecko)
Lineage: Eukaryota; Metazoa; Chordata; Lepidosauria; Squamata; Gekkonidae
Exons: 3
Source: RefSeq, a predicted model, not a curated record
GCAGAGCUGGGCCUCAAGGAACACCACCAAAAUGAAGUUAUUAACUAUAUACGAUUUGCACGCUCUAAGUGUGGCUUACGUCUCAAGACUGUAGACUCUUGUUUUCAGGACCUUAAGGACAGCAGGCUUGUGGAAGAGACCUUCACAAUAGAUGAAGUGUCAGAUAUGCUGGAUGGCUUGCAGACUGUGGUACAGUGAAGUUGAGUCAGAACUUAUUAAUACAGCAUACACAAAUGUGUUACUCCUGCGCCAGAUAUUUUCCCAAGCCAAAAAGUUAUAUCUUAAACUGCAGACUGACUUCUCUGAGCUGGAAAAUAGGAACUUAUUAGAGCAAGUUUGAAAAGGCAGAAUUUGUAUCUUCAAUUAAGAAG